CCUACGGGGGGCUGCAGUGGGGAAUAUUGGACAAUGGGGGGAACCCUGAUCCAGCCAUGCCGCGUGUGUGAAGAAGGGCCUCGGGUUGUAAAGCACUUUCAGUGAGGAAGAACGCCUGGUGGUUAAUACCCAUCAGGAAAGACAUCACUCACAGAAGAAGCACCGGCUAACUCCGUGCCAGCAGCCGCGGUAAUACGGAGGGUGCGAGCGUUAAUCGGAAUUACUGGGCGUAAAGCGCGCGUAGGUGGCUUGAUAAGCCGGUUGUGAAAGCCCCGGGCUCAACCUGGGAACGGCAUCCGGAACUGUCAAGCUAGAGUGCAGGAGAGGAAGGUAGAAUUCCCGGUGUAGCGGUGAAAUGCGUAGAGAUCGGGAGGAAUACCAGUGGCGAAGGCGGCCUUCUGGACUGACACUGACACUGAGGUGCGAAAGCGUGGGUAGCAAACAGGAUUAGAUACCCCGGUAGUC
RNAcentral lists this ribosomal RNA (465 nucleotides) under Vreelandella stevensii. Its description in RNAcentral is "partial 16S ribosomal RNA". It matches the Rfam family "Bacterial small subunit ribosomal RNA", at positions 338 to 795 of the family's 1533-position model. Lineage: Bacteria; Pseudomonadati; Pseudomonadota; Gammaproteobacteria; Oceanospirillales; Halomonadaceae. The record is from RNAcentral.